AUUCCUUUGAACACGCAGCGUUCUGAAAUCGUGUCCUGCCGCAAGGACUCAAGUAGGGCCUCCUAGUGCAAGUCCUGGCCCUGCCUUAAAGUCUCCGAGACAAAAACAACAAAAUGCAGUGUGGACAGAAAUGAAAAAAGCUGUGAUGCUAUUUAAAGAAUGGAACACCCUUGGAAACGCGAUGCUACGUCUCAAUGGGAUUUUCCAGUACAAAGAUUCUUUUCAAAGAACAUAAUUGUGGAUACACACCACUCCUACAGAGAGUGUGUCUUGUGGCGACAGAAGACAGCAUGAUGAGGAAGUUAAAGAAGUAAGAAAAUUAGAAUUUAGGAUGUCAA
This is a long non-coding RNA of Physeter macrocephalus (sperm whale), 338 nucleotides long. RefSeq lists it as uncharacterized. The transcript is spliced from 4 exons. The record is from RefSeq and is a predicted model, not a curated record. Lineage: Eukaryota; Metazoa; Chordata; Mammalia; Artiodactyla; Physeteridae.